RNAcentral lists this ribosomal RNA (253 nucleotides) under uncultured bacterium. Its description in RNAcentral is "partial 16S ribosomal RNA". It matches the Rfam family "Bacterial small subunit ribosomal RNA", at positions 524 to 776 of the family's 1533-position model. The record is from RNAcentral.
AACAGAGGGUGCAAACGUUGUUCGGAAUUACUGGGCGUAAAGCGCGUGUAGGCGGCACGGCAAGUCGGAUGUGAAAGCCCGCGGCUCAACCGUGGAAGUGCACUCGAAACUGCCGAGCUAGAGUCUCGGAGAGGAAGGUGGAAUGCUUGGUGUAGAGGUGAAAUUCGUAGAUAUCAAGCAGAACACCUGUGGCGAAGGCGGCCUUCUGGACGAUGACUGACGCUGAGACGCGAAAGCGUGGGGAGCAAACAGG